Molecule: ribosomal RNA, 476 nt
Filed under: Cantharellus amethysteus
Lineage: Eukaryota; Fungi; Basidiomycota; Agaricomycetes; Cantharellales; Hydnaceae
Description: eukaryotic LSU rRNA
Rfam family: Eukaryotic large subunit ribosomal RNA
Source: RNAcentral
GGAGGAAAAGAAACUAACUAGGAUUCCCCCAGUAACUGCGAGUGAAGAGGGAAGAGCUCAUCAUUGGAAUCUGGCAGUGUUGCACUGUCCGAGUUGUAGAUGAGGAGUAGUCCAUCUGGACUGCAUGGCGUCCAAGUACAAUAGGCCGUCAGUGGGACAUCAUAGAGGGUGACAAUCCCGUCCUUGAUGCCAAUGUGCAAGUCCGUUACGAUGGCUAUCUCAGAGAGUCGAGCAGUUUGGGAUUUGCUGCUUAAACAUGGGAGGUAGAUUCCUUCUAAAGCUAAAUACAGGCGAGAGACCGAUAGAGAACAAGUACCGCAAGGGAAAGAUGAAAUAGCACUCUGUGAAGGGAGUCAAAAGGCGUGAAAUUGUUGCGAGAGAAGCGAUUCAAGUCAGCGUAGCUAGGCCCAUCAAGCGUCUCGCUUUGGACUAGCUUUGCCAGCGGUCUUGUCCUUUAGAGAGAGAGAGACUUGACU